AGAUUGAUCCUGGCUCAGAUUGAACGCUGGCGGCAGGCUUAACACAUGCAAGUCGAGCGGAAACGAUGAUAGCUUGCUAUCAGGCGUCGAGCGGCGGACGGGUGAGUAAUACUUAGGAAUCUACCUAGUAGUGGGGGAUAGCACGGGGAAACUCGUAUUAAUACCGCAUACGACCUACGGGAGAAAGGGGGCAGUUUACUGCUCUCGCUAUUAGAUGAGCCUAAGUCGGAUUAGCUAGAUGGUGGGGUAAAGGCCUACCAUGGCGACGAUCUGUAGCUGGUCUGAGAGGAUGAUCAGCCACACCGGGACU
RNAcentral lists this ribosomal RNA (310 nucleotides) under Psychrobacter urativorans. RNAcentral's name for it is "bacterial SSU rRNA". It matches the Rfam family "Bacterial small subunit ribosomal RNA", at positions 10 to 320 of the family's 1533-position model. The record is from RNAcentral. Lineage: Bacteria; Pseudomonadati; Pseudomonadota; Gammaproteobacteria; Moraxellales; Moraxellaceae.